Molecule: ribosomal RNA, 472 nt
Filed under: uncultured bacterium
Lineage: Bacteria
Description: bacterial SSU rRNA
Rfam family: Bacterial small subunit ribosomal RNA
Source: RNAcentral
GACGACGCUGGCGGCGUGCCUGACACAUGCAAGUCGGACGGUUCUUGUAUCUUCAAGCUUGCUUGCAGGUGCAAGGAUAGUGGCGGACGGGUGAGUAACGCGUGAACAUCUACCCAUUGGAGGGGGACAACCCGUCGAAAGGCGGGCUAAUACCGCGUAAGCCGCGAGGUGAGAGGCUGCCUAUUGGUGGCCGCCGAUGGAUGGGUUCGCGUCCUAUCAGCUGGUUGGUGGGGUAACGGCCUACCAAGGCGAAGACGGGUAGCCGGCCUGAGAGGAUGGCCGGCCACACUGGAACUGAGACACGGUCCAGACUCCUACGGGAGGCAGCAGUGGGGAAUAUUGGGCAAUGGGGGAGACCCUGACCCAGCGACGCCGCGUGAGGGAUGAAGGUUUUCGGAUCGUAAACCUCUGUUGUACGGGAAGAAGGAUGUGACGGUACCGUACGACGUAAAGCCCCGGCCAAACCUACGUG